This 272-nucleotide unclassified non-coding RNA is filed under the name Athalia rosae (coleseed sawfly). Its description in RNAcentral is "misc RNA ENSAEAG00005009194.1". Lineage: Eukaryota; Metazoa; Arthropoda; Insecta; Hymenoptera; Athaliidae. The record is from RNAcentral.
UGGAGAUCCACGAUACGAUCACUGGGGGAGAGGAGAAGACGUUGGAGAAGAUGAAUGGCAAAUUUCCCAUGGAUUGGUUGUCGGACAUGGCGACAAAUCGAAAAAUUUGCAAGGCGGCAAAACCCAAAAACCGAUUACAAAGACAAGAAAGUCUAGAAAAGAUAAGAAGAAAAGCAAAAAGAAACAAACUGCUACGGGCAAGAAAAGGAAACAAUCGAGCCUGUGCCCUGAUUUCAGUAAAAGCUACGCAGAGCAUUUACUGCAGCAAAAAG